Molecule: transfer RNA, 73 nt
Filed under: Actinomycetota bacterium
Lineage: Bacteria; Bacillati; Actinomycetota
Description: tRNA-Gly
Rfam family: tRNA
About the family: Transfer RNA (tRNA) molecules are approximately 80 nucleotides in length. Their secondary structure includes four short double-helical elements and three loops (D, anti-codon, and T loops). Further hydrogen bonds mediate the characteristic L-shaped molecular structure. tRNAs have two regions of fundamental functional importance: the anti-codon, which is responsible for specific mRNA codon recognition, and the 3' end, to which the tRNAs corresponding amino acid is attached (by aminoacyl-tRNA synthetases). tRNAs cope with the degeneracy of the genetic code in two manners: having more than one tRNA (with a specific anti-codon) for a particular amino acid; and 'wobble' base-pairing, i.e. permitting non-standard base-pairing at the 3rd anti-codon position.
Source: RNAcentral
GCGGACGUAGCUCAGUUGGUAGAGCGUCGCGUUGCCAACGCGAAGGUCGCGGGUUCGAAUCCCGUCGUCCGCU